RNAcentral lists this transfer RNA (68 nucleotides) under Marmota monax (woodchuck). Its description in RNAcentral is "tRNA.Undet". Lineage: Eukaryota; Metazoa; Chordata; Mammalia; Rodentia; Sciuridae. The record is from RNAcentral.
GGGGCCAUGGCUCAGUGGUAGAGCGCCACCUCGCACGUGUGGAGCGCUGGGUUCGAUCCUCAGCACCA